Molecule: ribosomal RNA, 251 nt
Filed under: uncultured prokaryote
Description: partial 16S rRNA
Rfam family: Bacterial small subunit ribosomal RNA
Source: RNAcentral
ACGAAGGGGGCUAGCGUUGUUCGGAUUUACUGGGCGUAAAGCGCACGUAGGCGGCUUGUUAAGUCAGAGGUGAAAGCCUGGAGCUCAACUCCAGAACUGCCUUUGAUACUGGCAGGCUCGAGUAUGGAAGAGGUUGGUGGAACUCCGAGUGUAGAGGUGAAAUUCGUAGAUAUUCGGAAGAACACCAGUGGCGAAGGCGGCCAACUGGUCCAUUACUGACGCUGAGGUGCGAAAGCGUGGGGAGCAAACAG